Long non-coding RNA from Haliotis rubra (blacklip abalone), 91 nucleotides. RefSeq lists it as uncharacterized. Lineage: Eukaryota; Metazoa; Mollusca; Gastropoda; Lepetellida; Haliotidae. The transcript has 2 exons. The record is from RefSeq and is a predicted model, not a curated record.
ACAGUCAAAUCCCGAUGAGUCGAAUCGCUGGGGACCAAUAAUAAAUUCGUCUUAUCGAUGUAUUCAAGACAAAGGUAUGUCUAAGAAGGUA